GGGCCGGUGGUCUAGGGGUAUGACGCCUCCCUUGCAAGGAGGAGGCCGUGGGUUCGAGUCCCACCCGGUCCA
This 72-nucleotide transfer RNA is filed under the name Candidatus Nanoarchaeia archaeon. RNAcentral describes it as "tRNA-Ala". It matches the Rfam family "tRNA". From Rfam's summary of the family: Transfer RNA (tRNA) molecules are approximately 80 nucleotides in length. Their secondary structure includes four short double-helical elements and three loops (D, anti-codon, and T loops). RNAcentral also lists the same sequence under 1 other name. Lineage: Archaea; Nanobdellati; Nanobdellota; Candidatus Nanoarchaeia. The record is from RNAcentral.